CCCUCUUAGGUAUUCUGAUUUCAAAGCCAUCGGUCCUUGCCAGUGCACAGUGGGCUGAAAUCUUGUUGAAGGUUUUAAAUGUGUAAUGCAUUUUGUGGCGACCCAACUCCUUCAUAACUUUAUGACACUUGUGCUGUAUGGCAGCAAAUUAGAUCACAUCACUGAGUGUGACUGCAGACUAACUCAGAGCCAGUAGCAAAGUAAGUCGCUGCAAACACAGAAAAAAGGCGCAAAAUAUCUUAGCCUUAUAGCACAAAAUGAAAAAAA
This 267-nucleotide long non-coding RNA is filed under the name Hordeum vulgare. RNAcentral describes it as "long non-coding RNA (HVUL_LNC020429)". Lineage: Eukaryota; Viridiplantae; Streptophyta; Magnoliopsida; Poales; Poaceae. The record is from RNAcentral.